UGGCUGCCAGAUGUUAGACACCACGGCCAUGAGAAGGGCGAGAAGCCUGCGAGGCGUAUGCAGAUGCCGUGGCUCCACGUAACAGAUGGACCUUGGCGUGCCCACAACUACCAGCGCGGUGCCCACACGGUGCCUACGCUGAGCGAUGCUCCGUGCCAGCCGGACACAUCUUGUCUGAGGCGACAGGAACAUCAGACGCGACAGAUGGCUCAUAAAUCAUUGAUGUGCAUGCGCAGUGACAACAGGAGUCUUUCCUCUGGAGAGAGCCUGCGGUGAGACAGACACCAGGAGAGAGAAGAAGUGAGAGUAAAAGUGAGCCAUGAAAGGGGAGAAAGGGACAGGGAAAGAAAGACAGAUUAGGAGAGGAAGAAAGAUGGGGAGAAAGGGAGACUGCUGAGAGCAGAGGAAAACACAGAGGCAGCACACUAUAUUUAUACUGAAUGGAUUAUUUCUGUCCUGGUUGUUUUUAUUUAACCAAAUGUCAAACAUCCUCAAAGUGGCUAAACUGACCAAAUAAUUUGUUUAUUGGAGAAAUGCUUAAAUUAAAUCCUUGAGUGUCCUAGUCUAAGCCUGGACUUGAAUCCGAUUGAACAUCUGUGAAGAAACCUGAAAAUCGUAGUUCAUCAACACUUCGCAUUCAGUCUGACAGAGCUUGGGAGGAUCUGCAAAGCAGAAUGGGAGAAACUGACCAAAUCCAGGUUGGCAAAGCUAAGAUUACACAAGAAGAGUCAAAUCUGUCAUACCCAAGAAGAGUGAAAGCUGUCAUAUCCAAGAAGAGUGAAAGCUGUCAGACCCAAGAAGAGUCAAAGCUGUGAUUGGUGCCAAAGGCAUUACUACUAAGAACUGAAUAAAGGAUCUGAAUUCUUACUAUGUACUGAAGAUAUUUUAGAUUUUUAUUUUCAAUACAUUUGAACAAAAUAAUACAGUGCAAUGUUAAUGUAAGCAUAUCAUGCAACUCGGCAAAACACUCCAAACCAACUCAUGUGACAUGAAAAUCUUAUUUUGUGUAAAGUCACAGCUUUGCAUUUCUUUUUUUUAUUUGAUCCCACUGACCCAGGAAUAGUAUUUUUGGCAUUGUUGUAAAUGGAAUAGUGGAUUUAUGGCACAGUAAAAAUAAAUAUGUGUGCUGAAACAAUCGGCAUAAGUUUGGACUUCUUGAAUAUG
Long non-coding RNA from Esox lucius (northern pike), 1164 nucleotides. The record is from Ensembl. Lineage: Eukaryota; Metazoa; Chordata; Actinopteri; Esociformes; Esocidae.